This 200-nucleotide unclassified non-coding RNA is filed under the name soil metagenome. Its description in RNAcentral is "partial contains internal transcribed spacer 2 and large subunit ribosomal RNA". The record is from RNAcentral.
CGUGGUUAAUCAACGGCUCGUCUGAAAUGCUUCAGUGUACCCCGCUUUGCGGCGUAUUCGGUGUGAUAAAUCUUCACCGGAGUUGAUCCUUUUGGGUCGCGUCUGUAAUUGGUGUGGCUCUAUGCUUCCAACCGUCUAUUGGGUUAGACAAUCUCUGACAAUUUGACCUCAAAUCGGGUGGGACUACCCGCUGAACUUAA